Molecule: ribosomal RNA, 497 nt
Filed under: uncultured bacterium
Lineage: Bacteria
Description: partial 16S ribosomal RNA
Rfam family: Bacterial small subunit ribosomal RNA
Source: RNAcentral
GAUGAACGCUGGCGGCGUGCCUAAUACAUGCAAGUCGAGCGAACGGACGAGAAGCUUGCUUCUCUGAUGUUAGCGGCGGACGGGUGAGUAACACGUGGAUAGCCUACCUAUAAGACUGGGAUAACUUCGGGAAACCGGAGCUAAUACCGGAUAAUAUUUUGAACCGCAUGGUUCAAAAGUGAAAGACGGUCUUGCUGUCACUUAUAGAUGGAUCCGCGCUGCAUUAGCUAGUUGGUAAGGUAACGGCUUACCAAGGCAACGAUGCAUAGCCGACCUGAGAGGGUGAUCGGCCACACUGGAACUGAGACACGGUCCAGACUCCUACGGGAGGCAGCAGUAGGGAAUCUUCCGCAAUGGGCGAAAGCCUGACGGAGCAACGCCGCGUGAGUGAUGAAGGUCUUCGGAUCGUAAAACUCUGUUAUUAGGGAAGAACAUAUGUGUAAGUAACUGUGCACACCUUGACGGUACCUAAUCAGAAAGCCACGGCUAACUACGUG